GACGAACGCUGGCGGCGUGCUUAACACAUGCAAGUCGAACGGAAAGGCCCUGCUUGCAGGGUACUCGAGUGGCGAACGGGUGAGUAACACGUGGGUGAUCUGCCCUGCACUUCGGGAUAAGCCUGGGAAACUGGGUCUAAUACCGGAUAGGAGCCAUUUUUAGUGUGAUGGCUGGAAAGUUUUUUCGGUGUAGGAUGAGCUCGCGGCCUAUCAGCUUGUUGGUGGGGUAAUGGCCUACCAAGGCGGCGACGGGUAGCCGGCCUGGGAGGGUGGACGGCCACAUUGGGACUGAGAUACGGCCCAGACUCCUACGGGAGGCAGCAGUGGGGAAUAUUGCACAAUGGGCGCAAGCCUGAUGCAGCGACGCCGCGUGGGGGAUGACGGCCUUCGGGUUGUAAACUCCUUUCGCUAGGGACGAAGCUUUUUGUGACGGUACCUAGAUAAGAAGCACCGGCUAACUACGUG
RNAcentral lists this ribosomal RNA (465 nucleotides) under uncultured bacterium. Its description in RNAcentral is "partial 16S ribosomal RNA". It matches the Rfam family "Bacterial small subunit ribosomal RNA", at positions 28 to 507 of the family's 1533-position model. The record is from RNAcentral.